CCUACGGGAGGCAGCAGUGGGGGAUAUUGGACAAUGGGGGGAACCCUGAUCCAGCGACGCCGCGUGAGUGAAGAAGUAUUUCGGUAUGUAAAGCUCUGUCAGCAGGGAAGAAAGAAAUGACGGUACCUGACCAAGAAGCCCCGGCUAACUACGUGCCAGCAGCCGCGGUAAGACGUGGGGGGCAAGCGUUAUCCGGAAUUACGGGGUGUAAAGGGGGCGUAGGGGGUUAAGUAAGUCUGGAGUGAAAGGCCGGGGCUCAACCCCGGAACUGUUCUGGAAACUAUUGAACUUGAGUGCGGGAGAGGUAGGCGGAAUUCCUGGUGUAGCGGUGAAAUGCGUAGAUAUUAGGAGGAACACCAGUGGCGAAGGCGACUUACUGGACUGUAACUGACGCUGAGGCGCGAAAGCGUGGGGAGCAAACAGGAUUAGAUACCCCAGUAGUC
RNAcentral lists this ribosomal RNA (443 nucleotides) under uncultured bacterium. RNAcentral describes it as "partial 16S ribosomal RNA". It matches the Rfam family "Bacterial small subunit ribosomal RNA", at positions 338 to 795 of the family's 1533-position model. The record is from RNAcentral.